This is a non-coding RNA of Podarcis muralis (Common wall lizard), 1338 nucleotides long. The record is from RefSeq and is a predicted model, not a curated record. NCBI's taxonomy places the organism in Eukaryota, Metazoa, Chordata, Lepidosauria, Squamata, Lacertidae.
UCUCUGCGUUAAGCAUCUAGCGAGAGGUCGUUUGAGGCGCGCGGGCUCCGCAAUAGCAAAAGCGACGCGACGGAGGGGCUUCCCUCCCUCUACUCCCCAGCUAAGAGCAGGGAAGUGUCCCGUUGAGCAGGCUCGCCCGUGGCAGCUGCCGGCCCGUAGUUGCAAAUGGCUUCCCUAUACAUUACCUAAAAGACAUAUCGCCGUAAAAAAGCGGGCAAGCGCAGGAGAUCAGUAGGCAGGGCGCAAAACUUCCAACUGAUUAGAAAAUGGAAACCAACAGUUAACCUGAGGUGUGUACGUCAGAGACAGCCGUUGAACAUGUGCAGAUGACAGCUUCAGUGAUAAAGAGUUCAGCACUGGGUGAUGUGCAUCGACUGAAGAGAUCCCCCCUCUGGCGUGUGAGACAGCGCUGGAGCUGUGACAAACACAAGGCCCACAUUCCUAGAACUAGCCAAGUCUGUAAAAGAAUGGAAGCUGGAAAGUCCAUCAAGACAUGAAAGCAAUAGAUUACUAAAAUGGAUUUACUCGGGGAUGUCAUCAGCAGUCGGAGUGGUUCUGACCCGCUCUGUGCAUGCAGCUGAGUGUCUCAGAGGAAGAGCUAAUAUAUGCUAACAAUACAUUAGGAUUGAGUACCACUCAACAGCUCCAACAGAAAAGACCGCUGCUCUCACUGAAGAUUUUAGUGCCAACAGAAGGUAGAUAAUUACCACCUUGAUAUGCAACUUCCAUCUUAACAGUGUUUAGUCUAAUACAUCAUUUACUUGUAUUACUAAGACAGCAGUAGCUAUUGCUAACAUAUGAUAAUUUAAGGUUGGAAUCACUUAGCUCACAGACUGUGAAAAACAAAUUACUCUUUGAAGAAAUUCUAAUCAUACAUUCCACCCAUGAGAAGCCCCCCUCUCCAUAUUUGAAAGAUUAUGCCAUCUUUAAGCCAUCGUGAGAUUAUUAGCAAUAGCAGAGCUAGCUAUAUGAAAGCACAGUAGUUUAUAUAAAUAGCUGAGGGUGGCCAAUGUAGCUUUAUUUUGGUUUUUGCAGGAGUCCACAAGCUCAAACUACCACUCCAUGUGGCCUCUACAUACAGAGUGCAAUUAUGGCUGGUUUUAUGCUAGCCAACAUGACCUGAACAUUAGUUAAGUGUGAAAAAUUCAGCAAAUACAUCCAUAUAUUUAUUUCAGAUAGGAUCAUAUGGGUCUGUUUUGCCUGUCUUUGCAACCCUUUUGUUUAUUUAGUCAGCAAUAGUUUUCAUUUUUGGAAAACAUUUAAAAGCAAAUAAAGCUGUCAGGGAACUGACAUCAGAGACACGGGAGAAGGAGAGGGUCUCAGAUUCUGCAGGUGAAG